Molecule: ribosomal RNA, 495 nt
Filed under: uncultured bacterium
Lineage: Bacteria
Description: bacterial SSU rRNA
Rfam family: Bacterial small subunit ribosomal RNA
Source: RNAcentral
AAAGGAAUUGACGGGGGCCCGCACAAGCGGCGGAGCAUGUGGAUUAAUUCGAUGCAACGCGAAGAACCUUACCAAGGCUUGACAUAUACGAGAAUGCGGCAGAGAUGCCGAGCUCUUUGGACACUCGUAUACAGGUGGUGCAUGGUUGUCGUCAGCUCGUGUCGUGAGAUGUUGGGUUAAGUCCCGCAACGAGCGCAACCCUCGUUCUAUGUUGCCAGCGCGUUAUGGCGGGGACUCAUAGAAGACUGCCGGGGUCAACUCGGAGGAAGGUGGGGAUGACGUCAAAUCAUCAUGCCCCUUAUGUCUUGGGCUUCACACAUGCUACAAUGGCCGGUACAAAGGGCUGCGAAACCGCGAGGUGGAGCGAAUCCCAUAAAACCGGUCUCAGUUCGGAUUGGGGUCUGCAACUCGACCCCAUGAAGUCGGAGUCGCUAGUAAUCGCAGAUCAGCAACGCUGCGGUGAAUACGUUCCCGGGCCUUGUACACACCGCCCGU